This 204-nucleotide ribosomal RNA is filed under the name Candida albicans. RNAcentral's name for it is "partial 28S ribosomal RNA". It matches the Rfam family "Eukaryotic large subunit ribosomal RNA", at positions 1 to 201 of the family's 3401-position model. Lineage: Eukaryota; Fungi; Ascomycota; Pichiomycetes; Serinales; Debaryomycetaceae. The record is from RNAcentral.
UUUGACCUCAAAUCAGGUAGGACUACCCGCUGAACUUAAGCAUAUCAAUAAGCGGAGGAAAAGAAACCAACAGGGAUUGCCUCAGUAGCGGCGAGUGAAGCGGCAAAAGCUCAAAUUUGAAAUCUGGCGUCUUUGGCGUCCGAGUUGUAAUUUGAAGAAGGUAUCUUUGGGCCCGGCUCUUGUCUAUGUUCCUUGGAACAGGAC